UCUUUGUUAGUAUAUCGGUUAGUACACGCGCCUGUCAUUAAUCAAAUGUCCGCGCGAAAGCUGGGUUCGACUCCCAGACAGAGAG
This is a non-coding RNA of Panaeolus papilionaceus, 85 nucleotides long. The record is from the annotation of a GenBank genome assembly. Lineage: Eukaryota; Fungi; Basidiomycota; Agaricomycetes; Agaricales.